GUUUCGUGUCAAAGUGCCAGUUAAUAACCUUUUUAAACAUUCAAGCAUACAUGUUAAAUGGCAUCAACACAAAAAUGCCUUUAGUUUUUUUGUUUUGACAGUUGAAAUUUCAAUUCUUGAAUUUGAAUUUUCCGGUGAUCGCUUACACGUCAAUUUUUAGCCAUCAACCAAAUUAAUUAAUCAUUCAGACUCAGCAAAUUUA
RNAcentral lists this long non-coding RNA (202 nucleotides) under Mytilus galloprovincialis (Mediterranean mussel). The record is from RNAcentral. Lineage: Eukaryota; Metazoa; Mollusca; Bivalvia; Mytilida; Mytilidae.